CCUACGGGUGGCUGCAGUGGGGAAUAUUGGACAAUGGGCGAAAGCCUGAUCCAGCCAUGCCGCGUGUGUGAAGAAGGCCUUCGGGUUGUAAAGCACUUUCAGUGGGGAAGAAAGCCUUGGGGCUAAUACCCUCGAGGAAGGACAUCACCCACAGAAGAAGCACCGGCUAACUCCGUGCCAGCAGCCGCGGUAAUACGGAGGGUGCGAGCGUUAAUCGGAAUUACUGGGCGUAAAGCGCGCGUAGGCGGUCUGAUAAGCCGGUUGUGAAAGCCCCGGGCUCAACCUGGGAACGGCAUCCGGAACUGUCAGGCUAGAGUGCAGGAGAGGAAGGUAGAAUUCCCGGUGUAGCGGUGAAAUGCGUAGAGAUCGGGAGGAAUACCAGUGGCGAAGGCGGCCUUCUGGACUGAAACUGACGCUGAGGUGCGAAAGCGUGGGUAGCAAACAGGAUUAGAUACCCCAGUAGUC
Molecule: ribosomal RNA, 465 nt
Filed under: Vreelandella stevensii
Lineage: Bacteria; Pseudomonadati; Pseudomonadota; Gammaproteobacteria; Oceanospirillales; Halomonadaceae
Description: partial 16S ribosomal RNA
Rfam family: Bacterial small subunit ribosomal RNA
Source: RNAcentral